AACGAACGCUGGCGGCAGGCCUAACACAUGCAAGUCGAGCGCGCCCUUCGGGGUGAGCGGCGGACGGGUGAGUAACGCGUGGGAACGUGCCCUUCUCUGCGGAAUAGCCUCGGGAAACUGAGAGUAAUACCGCAUACGCCCUUUGGGGGAAAGAUUUAUCGGAGAAGGAUCGGCCCGCGUUGGAUUAGGUAGUUGGUGGGGUAAUGGCCCACCAAGCCGACGAUCCAUAGCUGGUUUGAGAGGAUGAUCAGCCACACUGGGACUGAGACACGGCCCAGACUCCUACGGGAGGCAGCAGUGGGGAAUCUUAGACAAUGGGGGCAACCCUGAUCUAGCCAUGCCGCGUGAGUGAUGAAGGCCUUAGGGUUGUAAAGCUCUUUCAGCUGGGAAGAUAAUGACGGUACCAGCAGAAGAAGCCCCGGCUAACUCCG
RNAcentral lists this ribosomal RNA (431 nucleotides) under uncultured bacterium. RNAcentral describes it as "partial 16S ribosomal RNA". It matches the Rfam family "Bacterial small subunit ribosomal RNA", at positions 29 to 505 of the family's 1533-position model. The record is from RNAcentral.